AUCCGAAUGACGAGUCCCAAAUAGGACGAAAUUCGCGUCCUGGAU
RNAcentral lists this non-coding RNA (45 nucleotides) under Trichobilharzia regenti. The record is from RNAcentral. Lineage: Eukaryota; Metazoa; Platyhelminthes; Trematoda; Strigeidida; Schistosomatidae.